This 460-nucleotide ribosomal RNA is filed under the name uncultured bacterium. RNAcentral's name for it is "partial 16S ribosomal RNA". It matches the Rfam family "Bacterial small subunit ribosomal RNA", at positions 338 to 795 of the family's 1533-position model. The record is from RNAcentral.
CCUACGGGUGGCAGCAGUGAGGAAUAUUGGUCAAUGGGCGGAAGCCUGAACCAGCCAAGUCGCGUGAGGGAAUAAGGCCCUACGGGUCGUAAACCUCUUUUGCCGGGGAGCAAGGGCGGGGACGUGUCCCGUCCCGGAGAGUACCCGGAGAAAAAGCAUCGGCUAACUCCGUGCCAGCAGCCGCGGUAAUACGGAGGAUGCGAGCGUUAUCCGUAUUUAUUUGGUUUAAAUGGUGCGUAGGCGGGCUUUUAAGUCAGCGGUAAAAAUUCGGGGCUCAACCCCGUCCGGCCGUUGAAACUGGGGGCCUUGAGUGGGCGAGAAGAAGGCGGAAUGCGUGGUGUAGCGGUGAAAUGCAUAGAUAGCACGCAGAACCCCGAUUGCGAAGGCAGCCUUCCGGCGCCCUACUGACGCUGAGGCACGAAAGUGCGGGGAUCGAACAGGAUUAGAUACCCUGGUAGUC